RNAcentral lists this ribosomal RNA (90 nucleotides) under Caerostris darwini. The record is from RNAcentral. Lineage: Eukaryota; Metazoa; Arthropoda; Arachnida; Araneae; Araneidae.
ACGGCCGUACCAUGCUGAAUAUACCGGUUCUCGUUAGAUCACCGAAGUUAAGCAUCAUUGGGCGCGGUCAUACUACCACCUGGGAACACU